RNAcentral lists this ribosomal RNA (450 nucleotides) under uncultured bacterium. RNAcentral's name for it is "bacterial SSU rRNA". It matches the Rfam family "Bacterial small subunit ribosomal RNA", at positions 328 to 794 of the family's 1533-position model. The record is from RNAcentral.
CAUCCAGACUCCUACGGGAGGCAGCAGUGGGGAAUAUUGCACAAUGGGGGAAACCCUGAUGCAGCGACGCCGCGUGAGUGAAGAAGUAUUUCGGUAUGUAAAGCUCUAUCAGCAGGGAAGAAGCAAGACGGUACCUGACUAAGAAGCCCCGGCUAACUACGUGCCAGCAGCCGCGGUAAUACGUAGGGGGCAAGCGUUAUCCGGAUUUACUGGGUGUAAAGGGAGCGCAGGCGGGAAGCCAAGUCAGCUGUGAAAACUAUGGGCUUAACUUGUAGACUGCAGUUGAAACUGGUUUUCUUGAGUGAAGUAGAGGUUGGCGGAAUUCCGAGUGUAGCGGUGAAAUGCGUAGAUAUUCGGAGGAACACCGGUGGCGAAGGCGGCCAACUGGGCUUUAACUGACGCUGAGGCUCGAAAGUGUGGGGAGCAAACAGGAUUAGAUACCCGGGUAUU